RNAcentral lists this unclassified non-coding RNA (240 nucleotides) under soil metagenome. RNAcentral's name for it is "partial contains 5.8S ribosomal RNA, internal transcribed spacer 2, and large subunit ribosomal RNA". The record is from RNAcentral.
AAGACUAUAGACCUGCGGAGUACCUGCGAAGGAUCAUUAUCGUAUUGUAACAAUUGGGGGGGCCACCGUGGGCUGUCGCUGACCCUUUGAAAGGGGGGUCGUGCACGCCCCCAUAGUGUCAUCCUCAUACAAUCCAACUCACCUCUGUGCAUCACCGCGUGGGUUCCUUUCUGGGUCGAGUCAGACUGGCUCAGAAAAAAGGGGCUUGCGUUUUCCAUACAAAUACCCUUAUAAAUCCAG